Non-coding RNA from Bactrocera oleae (olive fruit fly), 255 nucleotides. Lineage: Eukaryota; Metazoa; Arthropoda; Insecta; Diptera; Tephritidae. The record is from RefSeq and is a predicted model, not a curated record.
AAAAUUAUAAUUAAUUAAAUUUUGGUAUUAUAUAUGGUUUAUGAACGUGUUAAGAGAACACUCACCAGUGGACUUAGCUCUAUUUAACCGUUACUCACACUUCGAGCGCUGUCAAAGUAAACUAGUGAAAUUCCAGACAAGUUUACAAAAAGCUGCAACAACAAGAUAAACACGUGACCACAAGAAUUCCACAAUUCCAACAGCGCAAUUAAAACAAGAAAAAAAUUGUAAAAGGUCGACUCAGCGUAAAAAAAA